GGUGGGUUCAUCUAACGGUUAGGAUACAUGCCUCUCACGCAUGGCAUACGAGUUCGAUUCUCGUACCCACUA
RNAcentral lists this transfer RNA (72 nucleotides) under Prevotella heparinolytica. Its description in RNAcentral is "Bacteroides heparinolyticus tRNA". It matches the Rfam family "tRNA". Rfam says of the family: Transfer RNA (tRNA) molecules are approximately 80 nucleotides in length. Their secondary structure includes four short double-helical elements and three loops (D, anti-codon, and T loops). Lineage: Bacteria; Pseudomonadati; Bacteroidota; Bacteroidia; Bacteroidales; Prevotellaceae. The record is from Rfam by way of RNAcentral. RNAcentral also lists the same sequence under 10 other names.